ACAAAAAAAAAAAAAUUUCAUGUAGGUCACGAUUUUUCUCACCAAAAUAGGUGAAAAACAUUAAUAAAUGUUAAAAAAGAAAAUGGAAUUGAUUCGAACCCGACUCGAAUCGAAGAGGCAAUCUUCUGAUCUGGAGGCGGACGAGCCACCAUGGCGCCGCGGAUGCACCUUUCCUAGGGAUGGCAAUGGGGAGGGGAGGGGAGGGGACCAAUCUCCCCGUACCCAUCCCCGAUAUUUUGCGUAUGUCCCCGUCCCCUCCCCGUCCCCGUCAGAAUUACUUGAGAGAAUCCUCAUCCCCUCCCCGAAUAAUAACAUGGGAUCCCCGAGGGUCCCCGAUCCCCGAAUAACUAAUACAUUUUUUUUUUUCGAUUUUGAGUUAAUCAUAUUAAAAUAAAAAAUUCAAAUAAAAGUAAAGUUCGAAAUAUAUCUUAUAUUAAUAUCCAUUACAAAAGUCAUAUACAUUAAAUUAGUAAGUAACGCAGCAUGCAAGGGAUACAAACUUCUUUUACAAACUAUCAUGAACAAAUUAAUAGUCUAAUACAAAAUUGUUACAAAUAAAAUCGAAUUUAGAUUCAAAAUUAACUUUUUCAAUGGUGGCGUGGGCACUUUAUAAAUGUGGACUAUUCCCUUUAUAACACAAUAGUUAAAUCAGAGCAAAUCAAGAGUAAAUAUUAGAUUAGAUUAGAUUAGAUUAGAUAUUAAAAUUGUGAUUCGCUGUGGGCAAUUAUAACAUCUAAAAAUAAAUAAAAAAUAGAUUUAAGUUUAAAAUAUUUAAAGAAUAUUAAAAAUAAAAAACUUUUGUCUAAUAGAAUCUACUCGGUCUUUUUAAUGUCCCAAAUAAAAAUUUAGGACUUUAAUUAGUUAAUUAGGCCUAAAAGUUUAAUAAUAUAAAUAUUUUGAUAUUUUUUUAUUUUUACCAAUAUUUAUAAUUUUAUAAUUUAAAUUUUAUUAUUUAUUUACUAGUAAUUUUAAAAAAUAAAAAUAAAAUUAAAAAUUAAAAUGGGGAAAUGGGUAGGAGAUGAGAAUUCCACCUCAUCCCCGUCCCCUCCCAGAAUAAGAAAUUGGGUAUGAAAUUAUCUCCAUACUCUCCCCGAAUAGGAAAAAUCCCCGAGGGUACCCGUCCCGUGGGGAUUUUUGCCAUCCCUAACCUUUCCACGUAAGUACAAUAUUGUCUUUUUAAUUUGGGUAUAAAAUCUGAAACAAAUUCAUUAUCACAACUAUAUACAUUUGAAACCUGAAACUUUGUUACGAUUAAAAGGGCCUCGGCUAGUCUAAUUAAAGAUCACCGAUGAUAGGGGAUCUAAUAUUUUAUUUCUUGUAUGAUAAGAUUCAAUAAUUAAUUCGUGUAUCCAUCUUCAACCCUCUUGUGUGUCAGGUUGUUCCUAGUCCAAUCAUAAUAAAUAAUGUCACAAUCUGUUGUGACCAAGAACCUAAUUAAAAUACUUAUUUUUAAUUUAAUGCAUGAUGUUUGCUUGUUUUAUGAAUCCCCUCCACUAGUUUAUAUUCAAUUUGCAUUAAUUUCUCCGCUUAUCACCUAAAUCAAAUUGGUUUCAUACAUGUAAAUGCCAUGUGAAGCUUGUCGCGAUAUAUGUACCCAUUUGGCCCGGCUGAAGCAAUUGAACUUUGCUUUAUUUUAGUAUACCUCUGCAUGGUUAAGGUUAGUAUCUGCUAAAUAAGAUCAACUAUCCAGAGGUAUUUUUUUAAGGAUGCGUUUGAAAUUGAGGUUGGACAGUUGUAGCUUUUAAGAUACAACACUAAAGUGUUUGGUAAACACUAACUAUUGUAAUUUCGAAGAUAUGUUAAUAUAAUUUUUCACUUAUACAAUAUAAAAUUUAUUAUAUUUU
RNAcentral lists this long non-coding RNA (1844 nucleotides) under Citrus x clementina. RNAcentral describes it as "Citrus clementina (C. clementina) long non-coding RNA (CCLE_LNC002126)". Lineage: Eukaryota; Viridiplantae; Streptophyta; Magnoliopsida; Sapindales; Rutaceae. The record is from RNAcentral.